UUCUUUGGAAAAUCUCUCAAAAUUUAUUAUGUGACUCGAUCGUAGAUUCAACUCGAGACAUUACAAAUUAAAACGCUCGAUACGUAUUACGGUUGGUAUUCGGAAAAUGGAAUUUGAUUGUGAAGAUAACUUUAAUUCUCCAUCAAUUGCUUAUUACGUUAAAUGUUGCAGACAUCUAUUCAAAGUGCUGAUGAUUAAGAGGGAAAUACCACAAUGUCAUCAUCAAAUUGAAAACGUGAAGAAUAUAAGGAGAAACAUCCCUGACAUAUAAACUUUUGAAGGGCAUUUAAUAUGUGUGAAAAUAUAAAUUAAAAAUCAAAAGUAAGAUUGAAACUUUUGUUUUAAAGCUCGUCAUAUUUGUAUUCAUAAUUUUGUAAUGACAA
This is a long non-coding RNA of Drosophila sulfurigaster albostrigata, 383 nucleotides long. RefSeq lists it as uncharacterized. The record is from RefSeq and is a predicted model, not a curated record. Lineage: Eukaryota; Metazoa; Arthropoda; Insecta; Diptera; Drosophilidae. The transcript has 2 exons.